AGGACUGUCUACUUAAGAAGCUGAGAGUGAGUUAGGAACAUUGAUGAAGCCUCUAUUCUGUGAGCUGCCAGCUUCUCCUCACCUGGAUGACUAAAUGGGAGCAGAGUGCUGGGCCAUGAACUGAAGGUGGGUG
Molecule: long non-coding RNA, 133 nt
Filed under: Junco hyemalis (dark-eyed junco)
Lineage: Eukaryota; Metazoa; Chordata; Aves; Passeriformes; Passerellidae
Description: lncRNA (ENSJHYG00000016138.1)
Source: RNAcentral